RNAcentral lists this transfer RNA (77 nucleotides) under Hyphomicrobiales bacterium. RNAcentral describes it as "tRNA-Arg". It matches the Rfam family "tRNA". Rfam says of the family: Transfer RNA (tRNA) molecules are approximately 80 nucleotides in length. Their secondary structure includes four short double-helical elements and three loops (D, anti-codon, and T loops). Lineage: Bacteria; Pseudomonadati; Pseudomonadota; Alphaproteobacteria; Hyphomicrobiales. The record is from RNAcentral. RNAcentral also lists the same sequence under 2 other names.
GGCCCCGUAGCUCAGCUGGAUAGAGCACCAGAUUCCUAAUCUGGGGGUCACAGGUUCGAAUCCUGUCGGGGUCACCA